UACGUAGGGUGCAAGCGUUGUCCGGAAUUAUUGGGCGUAAAGAGCUCGUAGGCGGCCUGUCACGUCGGCUGUGAAAACCCGAGGCUCAACCUCGGGCCUGCAGUCGAUACGGGCAAACUAGAGUGUUGCAGGGGAGACUGGAAUUCCUGGUGUAGCGGUGAAAUGCGCAGAUAUCAGGAGGAACACCGGUGGCGAAGGCGGGUCUCUGGGCAACAACUGACGCUGAGGAGCGAAAGCGUGGGGAGCGAACAGG
Molecule: ribosomal RNA, 253 nt
Filed under: uncultured bacterium
Lineage: Bacteria
Description: partial 16S ribosomal RNA
Rfam family: Bacterial small subunit ribosomal RNA
Source: RNAcentral